Non-coding RNA from Dipodomys spectabilis (banner-tailed kangaroo rat), 457 nucleotides. The record is from the annotation of a RefSeq genome assembly. NCBI's taxonomy places the organism in Eukaryota, Metazoa, Chordata, Mammalia, Rodentia, Heteromyidae.
GAGCACAGCCCAAGGACUUGAUAAGCUGCUUACACACUGUGCAGUAGAAUGUUCCAGUCAGCACACAGCAUGAACAUGAGGAACCCUGCUCAACUCCUGGGGCUUCUGAUGCUCUGGCUCCCAGGUGCCAAAUGUGAUGUUCAGUUGACCCAGUUGCCAUCCAUGUCUGCAUCUCUUGGAGAGAGAGUCUCCAUGACUUGCAGGGCCAGUCAGGGCAUUGGGAAUUAUUUACAUUGGUACCAGCAGAAACCAGGAAAUGCCCCCAAGCUCCUGAUUUAUUUUGCAACUAGUUUGAAAUCUGGGACUCCUUCCCAAUUCAGUAGCAGUGGAUGAAAUGUCUCCUUUUUGUUGCUCUAUUCAUAUAUUACCAUACAUUACAUUAUAUUAUAUAAUACUACAAUAUGGGUACUAUUAGGGCUGUGUUCCUCAGAUAUUUCAAUAAAUAAACUAAAAUGUA